Molecule: long non-coding RNA, 749 nt
Filed under: Triticum aestivum (bread wheat)
Lineage: Eukaryota; Viridiplantae; Streptophyta; Magnoliopsida; Poales; Poaceae
Description: long non-coding RNA (TAES_LNC015842)
Source: RNAcentral
UUGGAUGCACGAGUCCUUUUGUCCAUCAGCUUACGCCGACAGAUGUGGAGACUCACUACAAGAUGGUAUGUUUCGUUAGAUAUGAUUUUUUUUCUUAGUGUUUUUUUGUAGUAUUUUAGGAACGCACUUUUUUCUUUGUGUUUUUUGAAGCGUACUGCAAUGUGUUCUUAUUUUCUUGUUUUUUUUCCUCGUGUGCAUGUAGCUUAUGUUUUAGUUUACAGGUUAGAAUAUGUGAACUGCUUAUAUAUUAGCUGAGCACUUCAUAUUUCUACAUUUUUUCCAAUUUUGUAUGGUGUGUACUACAUGUAGCUAGUCUAUAGCACUGCAUGAUUAUUCGAAGAGAACUGCAUAUUUGUACUACUUGUUGGACUAUUGUGCACUUCAUCUAUCUCUGUUCAAAACAUGAGAAUUGUACUGCUAGUUUCAUUCUCAAACAGUUUUAUUAUUUUUUACAGAAAAUUCCUCAGCGAGCUGUUAGGUAUGUGCGGCUCAAGAAGAAAGGAAUUCUUGAAGUUGUUCUUGGUAAUGGAUACCUUAAACCAGCCAAGUACAGUGUAAGCGUUGACGGGCGGCUGUGUCUGCACAAAGGGUGGAAGGAAUUUGUCAUUGAUAGCGGCCUGAAGUCUGAGCAAGUUGUUGUCCUCAACUUCUUUGAACUCGAGGAUCGUACUGUUAGAAUCACGUUUGAUGUGAUUGGCUAAGGUUAUGAGGUUGAUUUGUAAUAAGUACUUCUGCGUGUUGAACGCUUU